UACAUGCAAUGUUCUACAAAUUCGGG
RNAcentral lists this non-coding RNA (26 nucleotides) under Rattus norvegicus (Norway rat). The record is from RNAcentral. Lineage: Eukaryota; Metazoa; Chordata; Mammalia; Rodentia; Muridae.